Trametes gibbosa is the source of this 85-nucleotide non-coding RNA. NCBI's taxonomy places the organism in Eukaryota, Fungi, Basidiomycota, Agaricomycetes, Polyporales, Polyporaceae. The record is from the annotation of a GenBank genome assembly.
GGCCGGCUGGCCUAAUGGUUAAGGCGUCAGUUUCCGGUGCGCCGUGACCAGCUGAAGAUUCCGAGUUCGACUCUCGGGUUGGUCG